AGCAGCCGCGGUAAUUCCAGCUCCAAUAGCGUAUAUUAAAGUUGUUGCAGUUAAAAAGCUCGUAGUUGAAUUUCGGGACCAGUAUGUCGGUCGUGCUUCGGUACGUACUUGCAUUAUUGGUUUCUCCCUUCUGACGAACCAUGAUGUCAUUAAUUUGAUGUCAUGGGGAAUCAGGACUGUUACUUUGAAAAAAAUUAGAGUGUUUAAAGCAGGCUCGCGCUUGAAUACAUUAGCAUGGAAUAAUGAAAUAGGACGUUUGAUUCUAUUUUGUUGGUUUCUAGGAUCGACGUAAUGAUUAAUAGGGAUAGUUGGGGGCAUUAGUAUUCAAUUGUCAGAGGUGAAAUUCUUGGGUUUAUUGAAGACUAACUACUGCGAAAGCAUUUGCCAAGGAUGUUUUCAUUAAUCAAGAACGAAAGUUAGGGGAUCGAAGACGAUCAGAUACCGUCGUAG
Molecule: ribosomal RNA, 450 nt
Filed under: uncultured Glomeromycotina
Lineage: Eukaryota; Fungi; Glomeromycota
Description: SSU rRNA
Rfam family: Eukaryotic small subunit ribosomal RNA
Source: RNAcentral